AGCUCCAAUAGCGUAUAUUAAAGUUGUUGCAGUUAAAAAGCUCGUAGUUGAACUUUGGGCCCGGUUGGCCGGUCCGAUUUUUUCGUGUACUGGAUUUCCAACGGGGCCUUUCCUUCUGGCUAACCUUGAGUCCUUGUGGCUCUUGGCGAACCGGGACUUUUACUUUGAAAAAAUUAGAGUGUUCAAAGCAGGCGUAUUGCUCGAAUAUAUUAGCAUGGAAUAAUAGAAUAGGACGUUUGGUUCUAUUUUGUUGGUUUCUAGGACCAUCGUAAUGAUUAAUAGGGACGGUCGGGGGCAUCAGUAUUCAAUUGUCAGAGGUGAAAUUCUUGGAUUUAUUGAAGACUAACUACUGCGAAAGCAUUUGCCAAGGACGUUUUCA
This 379-nucleotide ribosomal RNA is filed under the name uncultured eukaryote. Its description in RNAcentral is "SSU rRNA". It matches the Rfam family "Eukaryotic small subunit ribosomal RNA", at positions 587 to 972 of the family's 1831-position model. The record is from RNAcentral.